This 634-nucleotide unclassified non-coding RNA is filed under the name Saprolegnia sp. BF1. RNAcentral describes it as "sequence contains ITS1, 5.8S rRNA gene, ITS2". The stretch from base 147 to 301 matches the Rfam family "5.8S ribosomal RNA". The record is from RNAcentral. Lineage: Eukaryota; Oomycota; Saprolegniomycetes; Saprolegniales; Saprolegniaceae.
AUGUGAAUGUACUCUUUAUGAGGCUUUGCGCUGCCCUUGUGGCAGCUAGCCGAAGGUUUCGCAAGAAGCCGAUGUCAAUUUGAAUCCUUUUUAAAAUACGACUGAUCAAAACUGCAGAUAGAAAUAUCUGCAUGCAAUUGAAAUACAACUUUCAACAGUGGAUGUCUAGGCUCGCACACCGAUGAAGAACGCUGCGAACUGCGAUACGUAAUGCGAAUUGCAGAAUUCAGUGAGUCAUCAAAAUUUUGAACGCAUAUUGCACUUCCGGGUUAGUCCUGGGAGUAUGUUUGUAUCAGUGUCCGUGAACACAAACUUGUUUCAUUUCUUGAUUGGGAUGGAGCAGACUGUGAAGGUCUUGUAAUUACAAGUCCUUUUAAACGACGGUACCUAUGCGUCCUAGUGAGAUGUAUUAUUUAAAGGUAUGCCUGCGCUCCUUUCGAAAGUCUUGUGUGGCGGCACACAGCACUCAAAGAGAGAGCAAAUCGCGGUAGUUUUGCUUGUACUUCGGUACGAGUGGACACAUAUUGCUUUUUGUGAUUUCUGCGAGUCUGUUGUCAAAGUACAAGGCACGUAAGGAGAGUUGGUAUGCUGGUGCAUUUCUUGGCGUAUGGAGGCAAAUUGGGAAUUCAAUCCA